AACGAACGCUGGCGGCGUGCCUAAUACAUGCAAGUCGAGCGAGAAAGCCUCUUCGGAGGUGAGUAAAGCGGCGCACGGGUGAGUAACACGUGGGCAACCUACCCUUGAGUCUGGGAUAACCCGGGGAAACCCGGGCUAAUACCAGAUACGGCUGCGGGGUCUUCGGACCCUGUGGAGAAAGAUGGCCUCUUCUUGAAAGCUAUCUCUCGAGGAUGGGCCCGCGUCCUAUUAGCUAGUUGGUGAGGUAACGGCUCACCAAGGCAAAGAUGGGUAGCUGGUCUGAGAGGAUGGCCAGCCACACUGGAACUGAGACACGGUCCAGACUCCUACGGGAGGCAGCAGUAGGGAAUUUUGGGCAAUGGGCGAAAGCCUGACCCAGCAACGCCGCGUGUGGGAUGAAGGCCCUCGGGUCGUAAACCACUGUCAGGAGGAAAGAAAAGCUGGCCGGCUAACAUCCGGUCGGCCUGACGGGUACCUCCGAAAGAAGCACCGGCUAACUCCGUGCCAGCAGCCGCAGUAA
RNAcentral lists this ribosomal RNA (520 nucleotides) under uncultured bacterium. RNAcentral describes it as "bacterial SSU rRNA". It matches the Rfam family "Bacterial small subunit ribosomal RNA", at positions 29 to 523 of the family's 1533-position model. The record is from RNAcentral.